RNAcentral lists this ribosomal RNA (1313 nucleotides) under uncultured fungus. Its description in RNAcentral is "eukaryotic LSU rRNA". The stretch from base 640 to 1313 matches the Rfam family "Eukaryotic large subunit ribosomal RNA", at positions 1 to 649 of the family's 3401-position model. Lineage: Eukaryota; Fungi. The record is from RNAcentral.
AGUCGUAACAAGGUUUCCGUAGGUGAACCUGCGGAAGGAUCAUUAUCGUACUACAGAGGUGCAAGGGUUGUCGCUGACCUUUCCAAAAGGUCGUGCACGCCCGAGCGCUCUCAAUCCAUUUCACCCCUUGUGCAUCACCGCGCGGGGUCGCUCCCUCUUGGCUCGCUUCGAGAGGGGGAGGCUCGCGUUUUUCACACAUAAACACCCUUCUGGUUUAGAAUGUCAUUCAUUUGCGAUCACACGCAAUCAAUACAACUUUCAACAACGGAUCUCUUGGCUCUCGCAUCGAUGAAGAACGCAGCGAAAUGCGAUACGUAAUGUGAAUUGCAGAAUUCAGUGAAUCAUCGAAUCUUUGAACGCAUCUUGCGCCCCUUGGUAUUCCGAGGGGCACACCCGUUUGAGUGUCGUGAAAUUCUCAAACCUUCUUGGUUUCUCGAUCAAGAUGGCUUUGGACUUUGGAGGCAUUUUGCUGGCUUUGCGAAAAGCCAGCUCCUCUUAAAUACAUUAGUGGGGUCCCCUUUGCCGAUCCCCAGGCGUGAUAAGAUGUUUCUACGUCUCGGGAUUUGCUCUGUUCCUUGGGAACCCGCUUAUAACCGUCUCAUGGGAGACAUCGUUCGAGCAUGCUCGACCCACGAACCUUGACCUCAAAUCGGGUGAGACUACCCGCUGAACUUAAGCAUAUCAAUAAGCGGAGGAAAAGAAACUAACAAGGAUUCCCCUAGUAACUGCGAGUGAAGCGGGAAAAGCUCAAAUUUAAAAUCUGGUGGCCUUUGGUCAUCCGAGUUGUAAUUUAGAGAAGCGUCUUCCGCGCUGGACCAUGCACAAGUCUCCUGGAAUGGAGCGUCAUAGAGGGUGAGAAUCCCGUCUUUGGCAUGGAUGCACCAGGGCUUCUGUGAUGCGCUCUCGAAGAGUCGAGUUGUUUGGGAAUGCAGCUCAAAAUGGGUGGUGAACUCCAUCUAAAGCUAAAUAUUGGCGAGAGACCGAUAGCGAACAAGUACCGUGAGGGAAAGAUGAAAAGCACUUUGGAAAGAGAGUGAAACAGUACGUGAAAUUGUUGAAAGGGAAACGCUUGAAGUCAGUCGCGUCGACCGAGACUCAGCCUCGCCUUGGCUUGGUGUACUUCUCGGGCGACGGGUCAGCAUCAAUUUUGCCCCUCGGAUAAUGACAAGGGAAAGGUAGCACCUUUAUGGGUGUGUUAUAGUCUCCUGUCGCAUGCGAGGGUUGGGAUUGAGGAACUCAGCACGCGCCUUUUGGCGUCGGGGCUUCGGCCUACGUACGUGCUUAGGAUGCUGGCAUAAUGGCUUUAAACGACC